UACGAAGGGGGGCUAGCGUUGCUCGGAAUCACUGGGCGUAAAAGCGCACGUAGGCGGCUUUCUAAGUCAGGGGGUGAAAUCCUGGAGCUCAACUCCAGAACUGCCUUUGAUACUGGAAAGCUUGAGUUCGGGAGAGGUGAGUGGAACUGCGAGUGUAGAGGUGAAAUUCGUAGAUAUUCGCAGGAACACCAGUGGCGAAGGCGGCUCACUGGUCCGGUACUGACGCUGAGGUGCGGAAGCGUGGGGAGCAAACAAG
RNAcentral lists this ribosomal RNA (256 nucleotides) under uncultured bacterium. RNAcentral's name for it is "partial 16S ribosomal RNA". It matches the Rfam family "Bacterial small subunit ribosomal RNA", at positions 524 to 776 of the family's 1533-position model. The record is from RNAcentral.